GUAUACUCCUACGGGAGGCAGCAGUGGGGAAUUUUGGACAAUGGGCGAAAGCCUGAUCCAGCAAUGCCGCGUGAGUGAAGAAGGCCUUCGGGUUGUAAAGCUCUUUUGUCAGGGAAGAAACGGUGAAAGCUAAUAUCUUUUGCUAAUGACGGUACCUGAAGAAUAAGCACCGGCUAACUACGUGCCAGCAGCCGCGGUAAUACGUAGGGUGCAAGCGUUAAUCGGAAUUACUGGGCGUAAAGCGUGCGCAGGCGGUUUUGUAAGUCUGAUGUGAAAUCCCCGGGCUCAACCUGGGAAUUGCAUUGGAGACUGCAAGGCUAGAAUCUGGCAGAGGGGGGUAGAAUUCCACGUGUAGCAGUGAAAUGCGUAGAUAUGUGGAGGAACACCGAUGGCGAAGGCAGCCCCCUGGGUCAAGAUUGACGCUCAUGCACGAAAGCGUGGGGAGCAAACAGGAUUAGAAACCCUUGUAGUCCCA
RNAcentral lists this ribosomal RNA (475 nucleotides) under uncultured organism. RNAcentral's name for it is "partial 16S ribosomal RNA". It matches the Rfam family "Bacterial small subunit ribosomal RNA", at positions 331 to 797 of the family's 1533-position model. The record is from RNAcentral.